Molecule: long non-coding RNA, 1488 nt
Organism: Pan troglodytes (chimpanzee)
Lineage: Eukaryota; Metazoa; Chordata; Mammalia; Primates; Hominidae
Exons: 4
Source: RefSeq, a predicted model, not a curated record
CUUGUGUUAAGCAUUACUUAAUCUUUAUGUGCUCCCUGCCCCAAUCUACCAGCCAGUGAAUGACAACUGACUGAGCAUAAAUACUAGGACUGCAGAACGGUUAUAAAGCAUUUGUCCAAGGAAAAGCCCUUUUACUUUAUUUGUUUUCACAGUGGAAAUUGCUGUUUUUGAUCCGAAGUUUUCUGAAACGCAGCAGUGAGUUCCUGGAGGGUGAGUUAGCUGCUUUAGACCUGGAGGCUGAGGCCAAGGCUUGUGUGGUCAAUCUGCUGCCACCAUGUGGUGAGGGAGCCUGGGAGAGUGUUAGUCUUUCUUGGCUUCACUUUCCUCCUCAGUGAGUUAGGGGCUUAUUGUUCCUCUCUGAGGUACCUUCCUACUUUGUUUUCUCUGAGUCUCUGAGGAACUGAGAUGGUUUUUAAUGCCACCCAGGACCUGCAGCUGAGACCUGACUCUGUGUGUCUCCUGCAGGAGCCUGAGCUGAGUCCCCACACUGGAAGCCCAGAACUGAGGGAACAGAUGAAAGAAAGAAAGUCAGCAGGUUUAGGGGAUGAGAACAACCCACAAAGGACAAGCCAUUGGAGUCUCCUGCCCCUGGCCAGGGAGAGCCACAGGGUGGAUCAGAGCUGGUUUAUAGUGAGGGGGCAGCAGCAACUCCAAGGGGGGAAGAUGCGACCAUGAGCCCCGCCCCAGACCCAGGAGCCUUGACCUUGGGGCUGCCAUAGCAGUGGAUGCUCUUCAGAGAGGGAUCCUGGGGCAUGAAUGGUGUAAGGCAAGGGCCAGUCUAAGGAAAGGGAUUUGCUGCAUCCUGGGAGAAAUCUCCGCACCCCCGAAAGGACAUUUGGGACAGGAAUACAGGUGAGAGGAGGUUUGCAAUUGCUUUUAUUCAAUAAUUGAUGAACACUCUCCUGAGAACUCCCUCAGUGCUAGACCCUGAGCUGGGAACCAUGAACACAGAGAUUAGUAAGAUAUGAUCUCAGCUUUCACAGAACUCUCAGUCUAGUGACCAGCGAUUCCUGAGAAGUAUGGUGAUGGUGGGUUCAUUGGAACCAGUGGUCUAUGCUGCAUGGAGAUUACCUCAGUGGAUGGCCUGGUCUCUCUUCUGUUUUUUUUCAAACAGCUGAAUGACCUGUCCUGGGCCAGUGACCCUGGACUUCAACCAGAUGUCAGAAUCUCAAGGUACAACCAACAUUUUCACUCCAUGUUGGGUCAAAACAGUUAACACAGCCAAGAUAUUCAAGGUUUCAGUAGAUACUGACUAAGUCCUGGCCAGCUGUGAAAAGAAAGAGGCUGGAGAGCAAUGGCAUGAUCUCAGCUCACUGCAACCUCUGCCUCCGGGUUCAAGUGAUUCUUCUGCCUCAACCUCCUGAGUGGCUGGGAUUACAAGCGUAUGCCACCAUGCCCGGCUAAUUUUCUAUAUUUUCAGUAGAGAUGGACUUUCACCAUGUUAGCCAGGCUGGUUUCAAACUCUUGACCUCAGGUGAUCCACCCACC